CGAUGGGAUGCUUCUUCGUCUUGCGUGGCGAGAUUCUUAUCAUUAAUCAGGGGCCUCGUCAAUAAAUGUCAGCAUUGUGAAAUUUCAAUUUCACACCGAAACAACCUCGACAUUGCCAAUUGUCACUGUUAUCGUUAUCGCUUGGCUUCUAUCGGCGGCUUGACAUCUUUAUUGGGCCAAAAGGAGCAGUUGGCAGUUGGAAAUCGCUUGGAAUAAAGAAGAUAGUACUACCACUUAAAGUUAACUUCUUGCUACCCUGACCAUUGAUAAUCGGCCAAAUCGUCGAGUAAUUAAUCAUGGCUAAAGGCUGAAAAUUGACGAGAGAAGCCAGUUGAAAACGGGCCACACCCUUUGGCCAAUACCAAUGCACUGGCACACACAUACAUAUACGCGGGCCACACAUGGAGCUCACAUUAUUGAACACACGCGAGACAAGGCGAAGCCAACAAUUGCCCACCCACCGCCCCCGAAAAACCCACCGAUCCGCACCCCUUCCUUGGCCCACUUGGUAGCCACAAUUGUGAAACUGGCGAAACGGGCUGAGGCUUUGCAAUUAGGAGGAGCCACGAAGUCCUCGUCGAGCCAUCGUCCUCGUCAUCGGUCGUCGUCUAAACAGAGAAAAGAGAACAUAAUCCAGAAGUUGGGGGGAAUAUGCACUGGCAGAAAAGGCCACGUAAAACAUGUGGAAAAUGCAAGUAUCAAGAAAAGCGAGCCAAAUACACGAAGAACAACAAAUCCUUGA
This is a long non-coding RNA of Drosophila mauritiana, 742 nucleotides long. RefSeq lists it as uncharacterized. Lineage: Eukaryota; Metazoa; Arthropoda; Insecta; Diptera; Drosophilidae. The record is from RefSeq and is a predicted model, not a curated record. The transcript is spliced from 2 exons.